Molecule: ribosomal RNA, 465 nt
Filed under: uncultured bacterium
Lineage: Bacteria
Description: partial 16S ribosomal RNA
Rfam family: Bacterial small subunit ribosomal RNA
Source: RNAcentral
GACGAACGCUGGCGGCGUGCUUAACACAUGCAAGUCGAACGGAAAGGCCCUGCUUGCAGUGUACUCGAGUGGCGAACGGGUGAGUAACACGUGGGUGAUCUGCCCUGCACUUCGGGAUAAGCCUGGGAAACUGGGUCUAAUACCGGAUAGGUGCUAUUUUUAUUGUGGUGGUUGGAAAGUUUUUUCGGUGUAGGAUGAGCUCGCGGCCUAUCAGCUUGUUGGUGGGGUAAUGGCCUACCAAGGCGGCGACGGGUAGCCGGCCUGAGAGGGUGGACGGCCACAUUGGGACUGAGAUACGGCCCAGACUCCUACGGGAGGCAGCAGUGGGGAAUAUUGCACAAUGGGCGGAAGCCUGAUGCAGCGACGCCGCGUGGGGGAUGACGGCCUUCGGGUUGUAAACUGCUUUCGCUAGGGACGAAGCUUUUUGUGACGGUACCUAGAUAAGAAGCACCGGCUAACUACGUG